This 354-nucleotide ribosomal RNA is filed under the name Chlorodiella longimana. Its description in RNAcentral is "partial 12S ribosomal RNA". The record is from RNAcentral. Lineage: Eukaryota; Metazoa; Arthropoda; Malacostraca; Decapoda; Xanthidae.
AUACUAAUAAAAAUAAAUUCCUUAAAUUAUUAAUAGAUGUAUUCUUUAAAUUUGAAGAAUUUGGCGGUGGUUUAGUCUUGUUAGAGGAACCUGUUUUUGAAUCGAUAAACCACGUAAAAUCUUACUCAUUUUAGUUAGUUUAUAUACCGUCAUUAUCGGAUAAUUUUAAAAAAAUCAAUUAUUGAAAUAUUAGGAUUAUAAAAAAAUAAAUUAGAUCAAGGUGUAGCUUAUAAAUGAGUUAAAAUGGGUUACAAUAAUAUUUAGUUAUUAUGGAUUGAGUGUAAGAAGUUACAGCAUGAAGGAGGAUUUAAUUGUAAUGUAAGUUUAAUAAGCUUAAAAGAUAUAAGCUCUAAU